UUUAUGCAGCGUGAUACGCAACGCAACACGUAAAUAGACAGUAUAAGUCAUUACAAUCAGUAAUAAUGUCCCCACUGGAUGCAACAAAUGCUUUAUUAUAAUGGGUUUUAUUGUUUUUGUUUUGUACACAGCAUCACAGUAUGGUAAGGGGCAUAACAUUUCCGUCACACUAUAGCUGGCCAAUCAGUGUACACCUCGCUUUUCAGAAUGAUGAGCUUUGUAAAAAUCGGCGUGUUUCAAAAAGGCGGGGCAUAGAGGAGAAACAAUAAUGUUCAUUAUGUGGAAAAUAAUGUGUCUUUUGAACCUUAAACCACAUAAACACAUUGCAUUACACCAAAUACACAAAAUAAUGUUCUUUUUAGCAACGUCAUAUGACCCCUUUAAUGACACAACACGCAGGUGUUUGUAAUCAAGUUAGAAUCACAAAGUCAGAUUAUUGUAGUUCAUUUACAUGAACAAUUUAUGGCAGCUCAUUGUUAACAUGCAAUGUAAUUGGCGCAGACUUUUCUACACAACCUUUUUUUUAUUUUCAGAAAUGCUGCUUUAGAAAACAAGACAUCUACUGACUAUGUUACUAUUAUUUAUCUCCAUCAUUUACCUUUAUUUAAUGUUUGAUUCAUUGCUGGUUCCAAAUUAUGCCAUAAUGCAAGGUUCCCUUGCAUGCGUGAAGAGAUGUUGGUUGUUUACACACUAAAACACAUAGAAAGAAAUGUAUAUAUUUUUUAAAUACCUGAUAGGGAAUAUACAGCAUGUCAGCUUGCUUAAUUUGCACAAGAGCAUGAUCCAUGUAAGUCCACACUGGGCGAGAGCUGCAGUUCCAAACACACAACUUUGCGUUACUGUUUGCGAAUGUUCAUUGGAACUAUUGGUUUCAGGAAACACUGAAACUUUGAACUAUGUUGGUAAUGGUGGAACCUGUGAUGACAGUAACAAUCUUUUUGAAAACAACCCCGUUUGGAACAGGUUCUUUGGACAAACACUUAACUACACACAGGAUUGUGGGAUACCAAAGAAGCAAAGGGUUACAUAUGCUGUCUUCAGAAACCUAUCAGUUGAAGGCAUUGUAGUUAACAAGAUGUUAAGGCUGGAAUAAACCGCAAGACUUUUGCACAAAUUUUUGCCCCGAUUUGGAUAAAUUGAUGUUAUUUGGUCAAAAAAUCAAAGCCAGUUUGCGAAUUUUGUGCAGUUGACUUUGACAUAUUUUACAGUAAAUCCUGUAGUGUAUGAUGGGCAGUUCUGACCUCCAUAUUCAGCUCUCAAACACAGCCACAGUUCUGACAAAUGCUGCUUUAAUUGCAAAUUUACUCUGAUAUUGAAUCUGAUGAAUGUUCUCUAUCUGAUGUGCAGAUAUGUUGAGCAGAAAGAAAUGGAAAUUAAGAUUAAGUCUGAAGUGGGCUUGUCCUGGUUGUUGGAUGUGCAGAUGCUGGGAUGGAUAUUCCACCAGACUGUAUGUUAAUGUUAUGUUUUUCAGAUGCAUUUUCUCUCUUUCUCAUCUCGGUGGAGAAGCAGGUAAUAAAGCAAUGUUCUGAUUGGCCACUUGGGCACAUCAUCAUCAAUGAGCCCACUGUAGCAUCUCACAUGCUUGUUUUAUAAGAGCUCUUGUACUGCAUUCAGCCACAUGAGACCAGCUUCCAUACAUAUAUAAACAUGACAGGAUGCUUGUUGAUCUAAAUAUUUAAUAAUACAUUAAAAAUUCAAUUCAUGCAAUGACCUCAGUAUACGCGUUGUAUGAAGAAAACUGUUUUAUUUCUCAAUUAAAAUUAAUUUAGACACUUUUAAGGGCUGUAAAGCAAAAAUGUCAGGUGGUGCAACUGUCCAGAAAUAUGUGGCCAUGGGGCUCUUAAAAAAUGUUUAACC
Molecule: long non-coding RNA, 1857 nt
Organism: Cyprinus carpio carpio
Lineage: Eukaryota; Metazoa; Chordata; Actinopteri; Cypriniformes; Cyprinidae
Source: Ensembl